UACGAAAGGGGCUAGCGUUGUUCGGAAUUACUGGGCGUAAAGCGCGCGUAGGCGGCCUGCCAAGUUGGGGGUGAAAUCCCAGGGCUCAACCCUGGAACUGCCUCCAAAACUGGCAAGCUAGAGGAUGUGAGAGGAUAGUGGAAUUCCGAGUGUAGAGGUGAAAUUCGUAGAUAUUCGGAAGAACACCAGUGGCGAAGGCGACUGUCUGGCACAUUUCUGACGCUGAGGUGCGAAAGCGUGGGGAGCAAACAGG
Molecule: unclassified non-coding RNA, 253 nt
Filed under: uncultured Parvularculaceae bacterium
Lineage: Bacteria; Pseudomonadati; Pseudomonadota; Alphaproteobacteria; Parvularculales; Parvularculaceae
Description: contains 16S-23S intergenic spacer region
Rfam family: Bacterial small subunit ribosomal RNA
Source: RNAcentral